This is a long non-coding RNA of Drosophila mojavensis, 1287 nucleotides long. RefSeq lists it as uncharacterized. The transcript has 2 exons. Lineage: Eukaryota; Metazoa; Arthropoda; Insecta; Diptera; Drosophilidae. The record is from RefSeq and is a predicted model, not a curated record.
CACAUAUUCAAUAAUUCUUUGUACACACAUAAGCACACACAAAAACACUCAAACACACACACAAUUAUAAAAUACCUACACAUAAGCAUUGUACUCUUUGUAAGAAGAUACGAAACAAAGAAACCAAAAAACUUAGAAAUAAAGACUCACUUCUGUUUUGGCAUUUGAAUGAAGAGGACGUUUUAUUAAUAUCUUGACACCUACAUAUAUACACCAUCUAGCUCCCGAUGGUAAUUGGCGCAGCCGGUUAAGGAAUGGAUCUACUUAUAAUCAUGCUAAAUCCGAUGAAUUCUGGCGCAACAACUUUUAUACCAACGCAGCAUUCGUAAAACUGGUGUCAAUACCACAAGCAAUAGCAUUUUAUUAAGGAAUGUCAAAGCGAUAUACACUUCGGCCAAGAACAUCUACCAGGCAAAUCAUAAAAAUAAGCGAAAACACAGUUUAUCCUCCCAACGAAAACUCAAUGGACUCCGGCAACGCCUCGGUAUCACUUCCGUCUACUAUAUCGACUUCAAACGGUACACCUUCAACAAUUAGCAUGGAUAACACUCCAACAACUAUUGUUUUAACUGAGGGCAUUCCUGCUUCUUGUAAGGUUUCUACUCCCUUUAAAAAUAAAUUAAGGCAAACAAUCACCGAACCCAGCUUUACCACAGAUAUUGUACUGGACAUCUUAAAGAAAACAUUAAAGCCAAAAAGGAUAUGCACAAUUUACACAUCAGACAACAUUUUUAAGAUAGUGCAAGAUGUGUUUUCUAAAGAGUUUUCUCACAAUAAACUUUUCAAAUUGUUUAGGUGUACAACUUUCCUAAAUGAUAUUACUAAUACUACUGACCAAGAAAAAAUUGUCAAUGAUUAUCACAAUAAUAACAAUCACCGAGGUAUUGAUGAAACACUAAUGCAUCUUAAAAGAAAAGUUUACUUUCCAUAUAUGAAAAGUAAAAUAAAGUACCACAAACUCCUUGCAAACCAAUGGAAAUAAUUCAUAUAGAUAUAUACACGAUAAACAAAAACUAUAACCUUACACUAAUAGAUAAGUUUUCAAAAUUCGCAUGUGCCUACCCUAUACCCAACAGGACCUGCAUAAACGUCGUUACUUCCAUGAAACAUUUUUUUAGUCUUUUUGGAAUACCUAAAAAACUAAUCUAUGACCAAGGUGCAGAGUUUUCCGGCAGUAUAUUUAAAGACUUUUGCAAUCAAUAUGACAUCCAAUGUCAUGUAACAUCCUUCCAACAGUCAUCCAGCAACUCCCCGGUAGAACGACUACAUUCAACACUUACCGAAAUU